Molecule: non-coding RNA, 586 nt
Organism: Phascolarctos cinereus (koala)
Lineage: Eukaryota; Metazoa; Chordata; Mammalia; Diprotodontia; Phascolarctidae
Source: RefSeq, a predicted model, not a curated record
UGGGAGGAGCAGACAGCCAUCUCGGGAGAUUGUAAUAAAGGGAAAUGCCAUUUGCCUCUGCAGUCUGAGGACCACCAUAGGGAUGUCUGUCUGACCUUGGGAAGGUGAAGAGAUUUUUAACAGAGAAGGAAGUCUCUGCAAGUGACCUGACCCAGAGAAGCAAAUCCACUUAGAAGCUUCUCUCAAGCCUGACUCAUUCCAGUAUUCUUAAGAGGAAAGAUCUCCAAGUGACCACAGGACUGUAUCAGUGGAUGUUUCAGAGACUGGACAACUGUAUAAGAUGGGAAGAGUAAGCAUGACACCUUCAUCAUCAUCAUCUCCUCCACCUGUUCUUGAGCAUACAGUGACUGAAAUCUUGAAUCGUCCUUUUCAGUCUCCUAUUUGUUUUUGCUCCACCACUGACAGCAAUGACUGAUAAUUCCUUUGUUCGUGGAACUCAACCUGUUCCUUACUUUCCUCCACUCCCUAUGCUACAGCCAUCUAGAUCUGUUUAUGUUGUCUGAAGGAAUGUUCCCUCUCAUCACCAUAAUGGAAUGGCUGUCAAAAUUGCUUGAAUUGUUUUCAUAAAGUCAAAAGAUUUUCAGAA